ACCUGGGUGGCUCAGUCAGUAGAGCAUGUGACUCCUGAUCUCAAGGUUGUGAGUCUGAGCCCCACAUUGGGUG
RNAcentral lists this transfer RNA (73 nucleotides) under Felis catus (domestic cat). It matches the Rfam family "tRNA". Rfam says of the family: Transfer RNA (tRNA) molecules are approximately 80 nucleotides in length. Their secondary structure includes four short double-helical elements and three loops (D, anti-codon, and T loops). Further hydrogen bonds mediate the characteristic L-shaped molecular structure. tRNAs have two regions of fundamental functional importance: the anti-codon, which is responsible for specific mRNA codon recognition, and the 3' end, to which the tRNAs corresponding amino acid is attached (by aminoacyl-tRNA synthetases). tRNAs cope with the degeneracy of the genetic code in two manners: having more than one tRNA (with a specific anti-codon) for a particular amino acid; and 'wobble' base-pairing, i.e. permitting non-standard base-pairing at the 3rd anti-codon position. Lineage: Eukaryota; Metazoa; Chordata; Mammalia; Carnivora; Felidae. The record is from Rfam by way of RNAcentral.